CAAAUAGGUAGAACUGAAAUCUUCAUACUAAGUGAAUCCAGCCAGUCAUAAAGGCAAGUGUGAAAUGGGUUUCCUCAAAUGUGAAAUCAUGGAAAGAAGAGGAUAUAGAGGGAUGAAAACAGAAUAUUCAGGAGAUAUCUUCUGUGAAGUUUCUUAUCACUUGGACUGGAUUAUUUUUGUUACUUCAAAUGUUAGUGGCUGGUUCUUUUAUCAGCACUUCAUUUUAUAUCUGAGGAAGACUUGUGUUUUCUUCAUCUGAUGUUUUUAUAGUAAGCAUUUUAAUCAUGGCAUAGGAUCAUGUAACGCCCCAAGCACGUUGGCU
This 322-nucleotide long non-coding RNA is filed under the name Mus spicilegus (steppe mouse). Its description in RNAcentral is "lncRNA (ENSMSIG00000027398.1)". The record is from RNAcentral. Lineage: Eukaryota; Metazoa; Chordata; Mammalia; Rodentia; Muridae.